CCUACGGGAGGCAGCAGUGAGGAAUUUUGCGCAAUGGGCGAAAGCCUGACGCAGCGACGCCGCGUGGAGGACGAAGGCCUUCGGGUCGUAAACUCCUGUCAACGGGGACGAAUCCGGGGUGGAUGAAUAAGCCACCUCGUUGACGGUACCCGUGGAGGAAGCCCUGGCUAACUCCGUGCCAGCAGCCGCGGUAAU
This 195-nucleotide ribosomal RNA is filed under the name uncultured bacterium. RNAcentral describes it as "partial 16S ribosomal RNA". It matches the Rfam family "Bacterial small subunit ribosomal RNA", at positions 338 to 524 of the family's 1533-position model. The record is from RNAcentral.